GUGACCUCAAAUCAGGUAGGACUCCCCGCUGAACUUAAGCAUAUCAAUAAGCGGAGGAAAAGAAACUAACAAGGAUUCCCCUAGUAACUGCGAGUGAAGCGGGAAAAGCUCAAAUUUAAAAUCUGGCAGUCUCUGGCUGUCCGAGUUGUAAUCUAGAGAAGUGUUAUCCGCGCUGGACCGUGUACAAGUCUCCUGGAAUGGAGCGUCAUAGAGGGUGAGAAUCCCGUCUUUGACACGGACUGCCAGGGCUUUGUGAUGCGCUCUCAAAGAGUCGAGUUGUUUGGGAAUGCAGCUCAAAAUGGGUGGUAAAUUCCAUCUAAAGCUAAAUAUUGGCGAGAGACCGAUAGCGAACAAGUACCGUGAGGGAAAGAUGAAAAGAACUUUGGAAAGAGAGUUAAACAGUACGUGAAAUUGCUGAAAGGGAAACGCUUGAAGUCAGUCGCGUUGGCCAGGGAUCAACCUUGCUUUUGCUUGGUGCACUUUCUGGUUGAUGGGUCAGCAUCAAUUUUGACUAUUGGAAAAAGGUCAAGGGAAUGUGGCAUCUUCGGAUGUGUUAUAGCCCUUAGCUGCAUACAAUGGUUGGGAUUGAGGAACUCA
Molecule: ribosomal RNA, 597 nt
Filed under: Thaxterogaster mutabilis
Lineage: Eukaryota; Fungi; Basidiomycota; Agaricomycetes; Agaricales; Cortinariaceae
Description: eukaryotic LSU rRNA
Rfam family: Eukaryotic large subunit ribosomal RNA
Source: RNAcentral